Molecule: transfer RNA, 67 nt
Filed under: Marmota monax (woodchuck)
Lineage: Eukaryota; Metazoa; Chordata; Mammalia; Rodentia; Sciuridae
Description: tRNA.Ser
Source: RNAcentral
GGUUGUGGCUCAAUGGUAGAGUGCUUGCCUAGAAUAUGUGAGGCCCUGAGUUCAAUCCUCAGCACCA